GUAUUACCGCACCUGGUAUCUGAAUCGCCCCAAAGUAGCCAACCAUCUCCUCCAAGACCUUUGCAGUGGCAGCUUGUACCUGGGCCUGGAUCUGUUCCUGCAUGUCACUCUGCAUCUGAUUCAUCUGAGCCUGCAAUAUCCGACACACAAGGUUUAGACAAUGCAAAGGAAAUGAUCGAAUACAUAAAGCAAUGGACAACGAAAGAAAGUGAAGUCACCUGAAAGGCCGCCACCAUCUGCGCCGAGCUCUGCUGCCGAGGUCGUAUGGGCACGGAGCUGCUCGUGCUCCUCGACCGAAUCGUGGCGAGGUUGUCCACGGAGGACGAGGAGAUGGCGCU
This 338-nucleotide long non-coding RNA is filed under the name Sorghum bicolor (sorghum). Its description in RNAcentral is "long non-coding RNA (SBIC_LNC002161)". The record is from RNAcentral. Lineage: Eukaryota; Viridiplantae; Streptophyta; Magnoliopsida; Poales; Poaceae.